CGUAGGGUGCGAGCGUUAAUCGGAAUUACUGGGCGUAAAGCGUGCGCAGGCGGUUUGUUAAGAUAGGCGUGAAAUCCCCGGGCUCAACCUGGGAACUGCGCUUAUGACUGGCAAGCUAGAGUACGGCAGAGGGGGUGGAAUUCCACGUGUAGCAGUGAAAUGCGUAGAGAUGUGGAGGAACACCAAUGGCGAAGGCAGCCCCCUCGGGUCGAUACUGACGCUCAUGCACGAAAGCGUGGGUAGCAAACAGGAUUAGAUACCCUGGUAGUCCACGCCCUAAACGAUGUCAACUAGGUGUUGGGAGGGUAAAACCUUUUAGUACCGGAGCUAACGCGUGAAGUUGACCGCCUGGGGAGUACGGCCGCAAGGUUA
Molecule: ribosomal RNA, 372 nt
Filed under: uncultured organism
Description: bacterial SSU rRNA
Rfam family: Bacterial small subunit ribosomal RNA
Source: RNAcentral